This 253-nucleotide ribosomal RNA is filed under the name uncultured bacterium. RNAcentral's name for it is "partial 16S ribosomal RNA". The stretch from base 27 to 253 matches the Rfam family "Bacterial small subunit ribosomal RNA", at positions 550 to 776 of the family's 1533-position model. The record is from RNAcentral.
UACCAGCACCCCGAGUGGUCGGGACGUUUAUUGGGCGUAAAGAGCUCGUAGGCGGUUUGUCGCGUCUGCUGUGAAAUCCCGAGGCUCAACCUCGGGCCUGCAGUGGGUACGGGCAGACUAGAGUGUGGUAGGGGAGACUGGAAUUCCUGGUGUAGCGGUGGAAUGCGCAGAUAUCAGGAGGAACACCAAUGGCGAAGGCAGGUCUCUGGGCCACAACUGACGCUGAGGAGCGAAAGCGUGGGGAGCGAACAGG